RNAcentral lists this ribosomal RNA (253 nucleotides) under uncultured bacterium. RNAcentral's name for it is "partial 16S ribosomal RNA". It matches the Rfam family "Bacterial small subunit ribosomal RNA", at positions 524 to 776 of the family's 1533-position model. The record is from RNAcentral.
UACAGAGGGUGCAAGCGUUGUUCGGAAUUAUUGGGCGUAAAGCGCGUGUAGGCGGCUUUGCAAGUCGGGUGUGAAAGCCCUCAGCUCAACUGAGGAAGUGCGCCCGAAACUGCAGAGCUUGAGUGCCGGAGAGGGUGGCGGAAUUCCCCAAGUAGAGGUGAAAUUCGUAGAUAUCGGGAGGAACACCGGUGGCGAAGGCGGUCUUCUGGACGGGGACUGACGCUGAGGCGCGAAAGCGUGGGGAGCAAACGGG